This 2916-nucleotide ribosomal RNA is filed under the name Vibrio cholerae. RNAcentral's name for it is "bacterial LSU rRNA". It matches the Rfam family "Bacterial large subunit ribosomal RNA". The record is from RNAcentral. Lineage: Bacteria; Pseudomonadati; Pseudomonadota; Gammaproteobacteria; Vibrionales; Vibrionaceae.
GUUGUAUGGUUAAGUGACUAAGCGUACACGGUGGAUGCCUGGGCAGUCAGAGGCGAUGAAGGACGUACUAACUUGCGAUAAGCGCAGAUAAGGCAGUAAGAGCCGUUUGAGUCUGCGAUUUCCGAAUGGGGAAACCCAACUGCAUAAGCAGUUACUGUUAACUGAAUACAUAGGUUAACAGAGCAAACCGGGGGAACUGAAACAUCUAAGUACCCCGAGGAGAAGAAAUCAACCGAGAUUCCGGUAGUAGCGGCGAGCGAACCUGGAUUAGCCCUUAAGCACUCGGUGAAGUAGGUGAACAAGCUGGAAAGCUUGGCGAUACAGGGUGAUAGCCCCGUAACCGACGCUUCAUCGAGCGUGAAAUCGAGUAGGGCGGGACACGUGAUAUCCUGUCUGAAUAUGGGGGGACCAUCCUCCAAGGCUAAAUACUCCUGACUGACCGAUAGUGAACCAGUACCGUGAGGGAAAGGCGAAAAGAACCCCUGUGAGGGGAGUGAAAUAGAACCUGAAACCGUGUACGUACAAGCAGUAGGAGCACCUUCGUGGUGUGACUGCGUACCUUUUGUAUAAUGGGUCAGCGACUUAUAUUCAGUGGCAAGGUUAACCGUAUAGGGGAGCCGUAGCGAAAGCGAGUCUUAACUGGGCGCUCAGUCUCUGGAUAUAGACCCGAAACCGGGUGAUCUAGCCAUGGGCAGGUUGAAGGUUGAGUAACAUCAACUGGAGGACCGAACCGACUAAUGUUGAAAAAUUAGCGGAUGACUUGUGGCUAGGGGUGAAAGGCCAAUCAAACUCGGAGAUAGCUGGUUCUCCCCGAAAGCUAUUUAGGUAGCGCCUCGGACGAAUACUACUGGGGGUAGAGCACUGUUAAGGCUAGGGGGUCAUCCCGACUUACCAACCCUUUGCAAACUCCGAAUACCAGUAAGUACUAUCCGGGAGACACACGGCGGGUGCUAACGUCCGUCGUGGAGAGGGAAACAACCCAGACCGCCAGCUAAGGUCCCAAAGUAUUGCUAAGUGGGAAACGAUGUGGGAAGGCUCAGACAGCUAGGAUGUUGGCUUAGAAGCAGCCAUCAUUUAAAGAAAGCGUAAUAGCUCACUAGUCGAGUCGGCCUGCGCGGAAGAUGUAACGGGGCUAAGCAAUACACCGAAGCUGCGGCAAUAGUCUUUUAGAUAUUGGGUAGGGGAGCGUUCUGUAAGCCGUUGAAGGUGAAUCGUAAGGUUUGCUGGAGGUAUCAGAAGUGCGAAUGCUGACAUGAGUAACGACAAAGGGGGUGAAAAACCUCCUCGCCGGAAGACCAAGGGUUCCUGUCCAACGUUAAUCGGGGCAGGGUGAGUCGACCCCUAAGGUGAGGCCGAAAGGCGUAAUCGAUGGGAAACGGGUUAAUAUUCCCGUACUUCUGACUAUUGCGAUGGGGGGACGGAGAAGGCUAGGUGGGCCAGGCGACGGUUGUCCUGGUUCAAGUGCGUAGGCUUGAGAGUUAGGUAAAUCCGGCUCUCUCUAAGGCUGAGACACGACGUCGAGCUGCUACGGCAGUGAAGUCAUUGAUGCCAUGCUUCCAGGAAAAGCCUCUAAGCUUCAGAUAGUCAGGAAUCGUACCCCAAACCGACACAGGUGGUCGGGUAGAGAAUACCAAGGCGCUUGAGAGAACUCGGGUGAAGGAACUAGGCAAAAUGGUACCGUAACUUCGGGAGAAGGUACGCUCUUGAUGGUGAAGUCCCUCGCGGAUGGAGCUGACGAGAGUCGCAGAUACCAGGUGGCUGCAACUGUUUAUUAAAAACACAGCACUGUGCAAAAUCGCAAGAUGACGUAUACGGUGUGACGCCUGCCCGGUGCCGGAAGGUUAAUUGAUGGGGUUAGCGCAAGCGAAGCUCUUGAUCGAAGCCCCGGUAAACGGCGGCCGUAACUAUAACGGUCCUAAGGUAGCGAAAUUCCUUGUCGGGUAAGUUCCGACCUGCACGAAUGGCGUAAUGAUGGCCACGCUGUCUCCACCCGAGACUCAGUGAAAUUGAAAUCGCUGUGAAGAUGCAGUGUACCCGCGGCUAGACGGAAAGACCCCGUGAACCUUUACUACAGCUUGGCACUGAACAUUGAACCUACAUGUGUAGGAUAGGUGGGAGGCUAUGAAGACGUGACGCCAGUUGCGUUGGAGCCGUCCUUGAAAUACCACCCUUGUAUGUUUGAUGUUCUAACUUAGACCCGUUAUCCGGGUUGAGGACAGUGCCUGGUGGGUAGUUUGACUGGGGCGGUCUCCUCCCAAAGAGUAACGGAGGAGCACGAAGGUGGGCUAAUCACGGUUGGACAUCGUGAGGUUAGUGCAAUGGCAUAAGCCGCUUAACUGCGAGAAUGACGGUUCGAGCAGGUGCGAAAGCAGGUCAUAGUGAUCCGGUGGUUCUGUAUGGAAGGGCCAUCGCUCAACGGAUAAAAGGUACUCCGGGGAUAACAGGCUGAUACCGCCCAAGAGUUCAUAUCGACGGCGGUGUUUGGCACCUCGAUGUCGGCUCAUCACAUCCUGGGGCUGAAGUCGGUCCCAAGGGUAUGGCUGUUCGCCAUUUAAAGUGGUACGCGAGCUGGGUUUAGAACGUCGUGAGACAGUUCGGUCCCUAUCUGCCGUGGGCGUUGGAAGAUUGAAGGGGGCUGCUCCUAGUACGAGAGGACCGGAGUGGACGAACCUCUGGUGUUCGGGUUGUGUCGCCAGACGCAUUGCCCGGUAGCUAAGUUCGGAAUUGAUAAGCGCUGAAAGCAUCUAAGCGCGAAGCGAGCCCUGAGAUGAGUCUUCCCUGAUACUUUAAGUAUCCUAAAGGGUUGUUCGAGACUAGAACGUUGAUAGGCAGGGUGUGUAAGCGUUGUGAGGCGUUGAGCUAACCUGUACUAAUUGCCCGUGAGGCUUAACCAUACAACACCCAAGGGGUUUUGUA